This is a long non-coding RNA of Thalassophryne amazonica, 414 nucleotides long. RefSeq lists it as uncharacterized. The transcript has 4 exons. Lineage: Eukaryota; Metazoa; Chordata; Actinopteri; Batrachoidiformes; Batrachoididae. The record is from RefSeq and is a predicted model, not a curated record.
UGGACACACAAAAACAGGAGGACAGACACAAAGGGAAGGAUGGGAUCAGGUUGGAUCAGCUUUCCAAGAGUUCUGCAGGUGUUUCUGUCCUCAUUCAGGGUUUGAAUUCAUGCACAUCCACAGAAUUAAUCUCCACUCAGACAAACACAUCAUGGAAGACUGAGAUCUACUGCAAACCUCAGUUACCAUCAUGGACACAAUGAAACAAAUGUGCUUGCACGAAUGAUCCCAAACACAACUGCUGCAGCACACGUUAUUUAUGACCAUUUCAUUGUAAUUCCCCGAAAGAAUCGUAUGAUGUCAGCAGAGGAGGUCGCGUGUGAGUAGGUGGCAAACACACAGUACUGUGCUAAAGAUUUAGAGUUUCAUCUUGGAGCAUUUGAUCUCGGAGUGUACAUUGUUAGUGAAACAAAU